CAGAUGAGGAUAGGGAAGAGGAGAACGAUACGAGCAUGUAUCAUUUCAGUGAGCAUGUACCCCCAGCGAGGGAGAGCAAGAGCUUGAGCGAAGCUCACAGAAACAAUAACAAGUUGCAGAAGUGGUGCAAGAAACAAGAUAGGCUACUCAUCAAGUUUCUGACAGACAAGCUAAGUUGCUCCUCUUCUACCACAGCUAUUCCG
Arabidopsis suecica is the source of this 203-nucleotide non-coding RNA. The record is from the annotation of a GenBank genome assembly. Lineage: Eukaryota; Viridiplantae; Streptophyta; Magnoliopsida; Brassicales; Brassicaceae.